GGUAAUGACUUCGAAUCGUACAGAGUGACAACUGAUGGUUCGUAUGCUUUUGAGACUCAUGAUCCUUACGACUAUGUCUACCACAAUAUACCCACCAAGCAUCAUGUUUUGAAGCGAGUAAAAGAUUGUAUCCAUUGUGGAGCAAUUAGGUUCCAGUACGAAGGUCCAGCCUUCUGUUGCAGAAAAGGUAAGGUCGAGGUAUUUAUCCCAGAGGUUCCUCAAGAGCUGCAACGAUUAUUUUCAAGUCAGGUAGAUGAGGAUGCAAAGUACUUUAGGCAGCACAUUCAAUAUUUCAACUCCCACUUCUCCUUCACAAGCCUUGGAGUUACCCUGGACAAACGGGUCAACACCGCGGCAAGAACCGGUGUAUACACCUUCCGUGCUCAUGGUCAGUUGUACCACCGUCUAGACCAUCUUGUACCAGGUGAUCACGGCCCCAGGCAUUUGCAGCUAUACAUUUAUGAUACAGAUGAAGCCUUAGAACAUAGGGUGAAGCGCUCUCCAGAUCUAGAUAUCAACCUCACACAGAAGAUUCUGCGUAUACUGGAGAACAACCCAUAUGUCGAGACUUUUAAGAGCCUUGGUUCAGUUCCAGACCUAGCGGAAUAUAAAAUUACACUAAACACAAAUAUAAAAUUGGACCAACGGAGGUACAAUGCCCCUACAGCUUCACAGGUGGCUGCAAUGUGGGUUGAAGGUACUGACCCUCAACACACUUUUGAGAGAAGUGUUAUUGUGCAUGCAAAAGGGGACCGUCCUUUGUACAUCAGAGCCUACUAUGGAUGCUAUGAUCCUUUAGUGUACCCAUUAUUUAACCCAGCUGGGAAGACAAGAUGGAACCAUUGCCUGCCAUAUGAGGGACCAACACCGGCUCAGGCAGGCAAUAACGAUGACGAUGACAACCAAGACGAUGAACGAGAAGCAGGUAAUGGUAUCGUAACAAUUGGUGACCCAUCCAUGAAUUCCUCUAAUCUUUAG
This 978-nucleotide ribosomal RNA is filed under the name Triticum aestivum (bread wheat). RNAcentral's name for it is "partial small subunit ribosomal RNA". Lineage: Eukaryota; Viridiplantae; Streptophyta; Magnoliopsida; Poales; Poaceae. The record is from RNAcentral.